CCGGGAGUUCUGGGCUAUAGUGUUCUAUGAUGAGGUGUCUGCACUAAGUUGGCAUCAAUGUGGUGACCUCCCGGGAGUGGGGACUGACGGGUUGCCUAAGGAGGGGUGAACUGACCCAGGUUGGAAACAAAUGAAAAAUUCCUGGGCUAAUCAGUAGUGGAAUUUCACCUGUUAACAGCCACUACCCUCCAGCCUGG
Unclassified non-coding RNA from Papio anubis (olive baboon), 197 nucleotides. It matches the Rfam family "Metazoan signal recognition particle RNA". Rfam says of the family: The signal recognition particle (SRP) is a universally conserved ribonucleoprotein. It is involved in the co-translational targeting of proteins to membranes. The eukaryotic SRP consists of a 300-nucleotide 7S RNA and six proteins: SRPs 72, 68, 54, 19, 14, and 9. The record is from Ensembl. Lineage: Eukaryota; Metazoa; Chordata; Mammalia; Primates; Cercopithecidae.